CCCCUAAAUAGGGACUGGAAUGAAUGGCUUAAUGAGGACAAAACUGUCUCUUACGGACUAGCCAAUGAAAUUGAUCCUUCAGUACAAAAGCUGAAAUUAACCCAUAAGACGAGAAGACCCUGUGGAGCUUCAAAACCAAAACCACCAAACAUGCUUCCUGGUUUUUUAGUUGGGGCGACUUUGGAGCAAAAAAAACCCUCCAAAACAUAAAUCCAUUUAUUAAGACUAACACAUCAAAAAUAAUAUCAUAGACCCAGCAGUACCUAUUUACUGCCUGACCAAUGAACCAAGUUACCCCAGGGAUAACAGCGCCAUCCUCUUCUAGAGUCCCUAUCGACAAGAGGGUUUACGACCUCGAUGUUGGAUCAGGGCACCCCUAUAGUGCAGCCGCUAUAAAAGGUUCGUUUGUUCAACGAUUAAAGUCCUACGUGAUCUGAGU
RNAcentral lists this ribosomal RNA (439 nucleotides) under Podarcis peloponnesiacus (Peloponnese wall lizard). Its description in RNAcentral is "partial large subunit ribosomal RNA". It matches the Rfam family "Bacterial large subunit ribosomal RNA", at positions 1973 to 2610 of the family's 2925-position model. Lineage: Eukaryota; Metazoa; Chordata; Lepidosauria; Squamata; Lacertidae. The record is from RNAcentral.